AUGACUACUAGCGGCACCCCGUGCGUUCGCAUCGCCGCGCCCAGCCUCCACGGCUCCGCGCGUCCGCGCCCCGCCCUCCGCGUCGCGCUGCUCCACUCUGCUGCCGUGCGGAUGCCCGCGUCCGACCAGCACCGCCUCAAGCUCGUCCCGCUGCUCCGCAUAUCCCCUCCACCUAGAGCCGCACCUGGCCGUCCGCGCUUGCAGCGAGCUGCCAUCGACUCUGACCUCCGGCCGCGUCGCCUCCCACCGUCCCCACUGGCCGCGCCUUGCGCGCUACCGCGGCUAGGCUGCGACGCGGCCUCUGUGCCACGCCCGUCCAGCUCUGGACAACCCGCGUGCCGGCUGCUCCGUGCCCGGCUCCCGCCACUCGGCCUGCUCGGUACGGCUCCACCUCCUCCCCGUAGCGGCGUCUCCCUCCGCUCCCCUGCACCUGCGUCCGCCCGUGUGUGGCUCCGCGUCCUCGCUCAUGGGCAGGGUCCCGCCUCGGUUGGCCGCGCCCCCGCACCGUCUUACCGCAGCCGGCUGCGCCUCCUCCCCCCCGUCUCCGGGUGGCCGCCCCGCGCAAGUCGGCUCCGUCGACCGGCUCCGCCUCACCUCGCACCGGCCGGAUCUCCUCCUGACCGUUUGGACGCGCCCGACCGACUUCACACCAUCCGGCCGCGCCUGGCCUCCCCUUCGCGCGCCCGCGGCGUACCGGCUCCCGUGCGGGUUCCGCACCCGACCCCCGACCCGUUGUUCUGGCCGCCUGCCGGCUUCGGGCGGGCCGGCUGCUUGUUCCGGUCCGGCUCCCCCAGCACCUGCCGGCUUGCCGCCUGCGCCCACAGGGCCGGGUCCAUCUCCUUCUGCGUCGCGCUGGAUCCGGCUGCCCCUGUGUGCCCGCGGCUCCGCUCGGCCGCGUCGCUUCGCCCGAGGCGGCUUUGA
RNAcentral lists this ribosomal RNA (921 nucleotides) under Triticum aestivum (bread wheat). Its description in RNAcentral is "partial small subunit ribosomal RNA". Lineage: Eukaryota; Viridiplantae; Streptophyta; Magnoliopsida; Poales; Poaceae. The record is from RNAcentral.